Non-coding RNA from Hydra vulgaris (swiftwater hydra), 469 nucleotides. The record is from RefSeq and is a predicted model, not a curated record. NCBI's taxonomy places the organism in Eukaryota, Metazoa, Cnidaria, Hydrozoa, Anthoathecata, Hydridae.
UGUAUUUUUUCUAUUAUAAUUUAUAUAUAUAUAAAUUAUAAUAUAUAGUCUUUAAUUCAUUUACUUACUUAUCUUAAGAAUAAUGAAAUAUAAAAAACGUUUAAAGUUGAAAAUAGUUUUAAUCUUUACUAGUAUGAUUCUAUCGCCAAGUCUCUUGAAUGUGAUCAAUCAUUUCUCGAUACUAAUGUUGCAAAAAAAAUAGAAGUUAUUAAAUGUUGGUGGCUCAUCAUGCAAUGCAUUUGAGAAGGGCAUGCUUUCAAAGUUAAGACUGCAUUCAUGAUUCCUACAGCAAAAAAAAAAACUUUAAAAUGCUGGUGGCAAUAUUUUAAAGAGUGCAUCUGAUCGAAAAGAAAGUGAAUAACGUCAACUGUUCGAAAAUUCGAUUCUUGGAAAUUAACAAGUGGAAGAAGAAGUUUACAAAGUUGUAAUUUAUAAAACUCAGCACAAUUAUAUUAUUAAAAAAUUUAAA